Molecule: long non-coding RNA, 4754 nt
Organism: Thamnophis elegans (Western terrestrial garter snake)
Lineage: Eukaryota; Metazoa; Chordata; Lepidosauria; Squamata; Natricidae
Exons: 3
Source: RefSeq, a predicted model, not a curated record
UAAAUUGUUGAACCAAACUAAUCUUUUAAAAAUUAUUUUUGCUAGUAUAUCUGACUCCAAACCAUUAAAAAUAUCAAAUUUAACUGUAGUUUUCCUAUGAAGAUAUUUUUCAAAACAUUAAUAAGUUCCUUAGUCUAUUUUUCUAUAGGAAUUUAUGAUACUUGAUGUUGCCAAGAAAUUGGGGUAACAGAUUCUUUUUGUAAACAUUCUGCCAGGUUUAGGCCCAGCAAAAGUAUUUGUUUAGUUCUCUGCUAUAUCUUUUUGUUGCUGGCUGUAAAAAGAAAAUAAUGUAGGGGGGAGAAUUGCUGUUGCUUUUUAAUAUCAUGUCAACAGUGCUUAAGAAUAAGCAGAUAAUAUGCAAACUUGUCAAAGACAGGCCAAUAUAAUUUUUUCCAUUUUGAAUGCAUUCUUAAUAUCAACAAGUUUUAAGAGCAUGCAUUGACACACCAAAGUUUAAUAAAUUAAGUUUUCCAAACCCACAUGUAUCAGUACUCUUUUCAUAACUCUAGGAACAUUAGCAAGCUUUGUAUGAAACACAACAAUUCAUAUGUUGAUAAAGACUCUCAAUCAUCCACCCAAAGGUAUCUAUCAUUAAAUAAAUAUUCAUAUCUUUGUCUGACCUGCCUGCAAAAUAAUGAACCGGACAAAAUCCACCUACAAUCUACCCAUCCCAUUCUAUCAAUCUCAAUAGCAAUAGGGGGCUGAUUGGCACAUGCUGUUGUACGGAUUAGGUUGGAGAAUGGUUAGGAGAACAAAAAGGGCAGCAAAUUAAUUGUCCAAUUGAAAUUCAAUCAGAAUAUUCAAAAUAGAGCCACUUGAAACUUGUUUCAUGUUUUGAACAUUCAAAACAGCCCUUAGUAGAUUGGAAUGCUUUCCACAUCUCUAAUAUGUACAUUGAUAGUAUCAUUUGCUUUUUGCUACGAGAUAUAGCAGCAUCUUUAAUCACAGUUAAUCACAGAAAAUUUAUUUACAUUUGCAGUAUGAGAUAGAUUUAGUACAUUCUUUUAAAAGCAAUGCAUCCAUUUCAUGUUAGGAUAAUAUGGGGGUCUAUUAAAAACAAAACUCUUUAACAAUUGACUCAAAAACUGGAUCCUUUUAUAUUGAGAUACCUUUUCCAUAUCCAAAAUUCUUGAAGCUUAAUAAAACCCAAAGAAAACCCAAUAUUGUUUGUAAAAACAAGGAGGCUGAACCAAGACUACCUAACCAUUACUAAGCACAUUCACUAUAAGGAAUGCCAGCACAGAUUAUGUUUUCAGGGCAGGAGGUGGAAUAAGUCCUAAAAAGGGCAUGGCUAUCUGGAAUUCUGAAUAGUCAGGAAUCUCUAUAAUUUUUCCUGCGGAUCCAAUUUCAUCAUAAUUAUGUAGAAGCCUAUGCAACUUUAAGACAGCUAAAAUGCAGUGUUAGUCAUUAUAGGAAACAAACAUAAAUUUACUGGGACUGGAAAAAAAAUUAAAACAUAUAUCUUGAUCACAGAUUUAAUAUUACUUAGAUAUGGAUUACUUCCACAGCACUUAUUUUAAAAUAACACACUGCAUAAGUAUUUUUUUAAAGUAAGUUUGAGAAAUAUAGCUCACUGCAACCAUAAACAUGAAAAUUAUAUAGUGACACAUAGUGGCUUGCUAAUUCUGUAAUUUCAUUUUUUCCAGAGGUUUUAGUCAUCCUCAUAAUUAACAGAACGCUUAGCAAAUAAUUCGUCCCCAAAGCAAAAAAAAAUAAAAUGUGCCAAUUAGAAACACAUCUUAUUCUUCUGGUUAUUGGAAGGAUUGGUUCCUUUUGCAAAGUUAGUGGCCUAUUCCUUGAAAUGCAGAAUCGCAAUUAAAAUUAAAAUGUCAUUUUUAUUUUUGGUAGAAGUGUGAAAUUUCUAAAGCAUCCUGCUCCAUCACCCCAACCAUUGAUAUUCACAAUAUUUCAAUCUGUGUGGCUUAUGCCCUAUAUAUUGUACAUAUAAAUAUUUCCGCCACUGCAAAUACACAUUGCUUAUAGUUUUCUGUAUCCCGGAAGUUGAGAUGAUGUCAUAUAUAUAUAUAUAUAUAUAUAUAUAUAUAUAUAUAUAUAUAUAUAUAUAUAUAUAUAUAUAUAUAUAUAUAUAUAUAUAAUUAAAUUGAUUCGUCAAAGUUAAAACAAAUAUUAUGCGGUCUACCUCUUUUAUCAGGGGCUAAUCUUCCUGAAUAGAGUUUAUUAUUAAAGGAACAGACGCAGGAUCCAGCACUGCGGAUCUUGUAAUCUCCAACUUUAAGGUUAUGUACCAGCACGGCCCCCGAUUUCCUAUUCCUGUUUUAUCUAAACAAGGGCUUUUAUUACAGUGCAGCUUUACAACCGCUUCUCUCUUUUUUUCCAAUAUGGUCCUCUAUAACUUCAACUAUCACGAGGAAAAAGCCAAAAAAAAAAAAAAAAAGGCUGCACCUUCGGCUGCGGGAUGGCUCAGAAGCAUCGGCUGAAUUUAGGAUCUGGGCGGCGCUUAAUGCCUCUUGAACCGGUUUGCACAUUUGCAUCAUCGGCGCAGCCUCUCAUCGCCUCGGCAACUGCAGGAGCGAGCGGUACAGAACAGAACAUUUCCCUCCCCCGAAGAGCUCGGCGUUCUUUUCUCCACCUCUCUCCGCCUCCCCCCGCAUUUGGGCGAGUUCGAGCUGUUCUUCUUCCGACCGGCUCCACCACGUGGCUGCCCAUCUUAACUGGGCCGCGCACUCGUGACAGCUUGCCAAAACGAAAACAAGGCAAAAUAAUCCCAAUCGCUCUGCGGACAGCUACGUUACUCCCGACGCAUUCCAAGCCCAGGAGCAGGAAGCGAUCGAUUAGAGGGGAGCAGAAACUAUCGCUUUUGCUCGUCAUGGGCAAAGAACCCAAAUCAGGCUCUCUUGUAAUUAUUUUUCUCUCUCUUCGACAAUCAAAACAAAGACAGGCAGAAGCCUCCAAUCUUUAUGGGAGAGAUUCAAAAAUAACCAGAUCCCACGCUAAUCAUUCGACUGCUGAUCUUACCUUCCUACAGCGUUCAUUUGCAUCCCAUCUUUAACUACCUAUAUUUCCUCUCUUCUUCUGACGCACUUCAGUUUCUCGGACUGCCAUUCCUACGCAGUUCGUCCCGCUGUAUUGCGUUUCAAAUUACAGAUACUGUUUUCCAGUGUGAUGGUCAAACUCCUCCUUUGUAAUUCUGUGGCACUGGCGUAUUGCAUGAACAGCGCCGGUGGUCACUCCUUCAAAUGACACACAAAAAUAUUUUUGUUUACUUCCCUUUGCCGUGUCUUUUAACUGGCACCCUUUCUCAACCUCAGAAGGCCGGCUGCGUAAGCUGGUGGAAAUCGAGAACACCUUUUCUGUAUAGCCGCCUACUACUAACUGCAUUCGUUUUCCCCUCACCCGUCCUCUCUAAGCAUGUCCAGACGUGGAGACACCUCUCCAGCAAAAGUACAGUCCGACCCUUAAAAAGCACAAGAACUUCCUGCCUCCCACCAUUCUCUACGUUUAUUUCGAGAAUGAACAAGUGAGUCUUGAAGAGGCCUCUCAGCUUUGCUAUUGGCUCUGCCUGAUAUACCUCCGCAUUUUUAUUGGCUGAAGGGAAAAGGAGGAAAGAAGAACAUGCUGCCAUUUGUUUGCAUGCUUAAAUCUCAAUAUGAUGGAGUGCCUAUUGACCAGAGGGGAACCCACUGCUCCUCAACUGAACAAUUGGAAUCUGGCAAAUGCCAGCCCUGACUGCAUCUUUCCCAAGAUCAGGAAUGAAGCAUGGUAAAUUGUAUGCCAAGACAUCUGUUAGAAGGAGAAAGAAAAGGCUUUUAAAACUGGAAUAGCUGAGGAUGAAUUUAUGGAAAUAAAAUGGAGUUUAUCAUAGUCUGUAAUGAUUCUCAGUCAUCCAGGUCAUGAUCGUCCCAAUGUGCUUUUUUAAGAGGCAGUUGGAUUUUCUUGUUUUUUCUUUUGAAGACGUUUCGCUUCUCAUCCAACAAGCUUCUUCAGCUCUGAUAGGACUGUGGAGAAAGGAAGUAAGCAUCUAGGCAAUCCUCCUUACCUGCUAAUGUUUGAACAACUCUGUUUUUUCUGUUAAAGAACACUGAGAGACGCUUUUACCAUUUUUUGACCUACCUAGAAUGAUUGCUGGUCCUAAGGUCAAGCAAAUUCACAGUUCUGAACAUUCUCCAUCAUUUAAUUUAAAUGGCUCUCUUAAUUUCUCCUGUCUUUAAAAUAUAAUGUAGGCGUGUUUUCCAAAAACAGACAGUAGAGGGUAGCAUUGCACCAGGCAUCAGCUUUAAAUAACCUUCUUUUUAUUUCCAUAAUCAUGUUAAGCAAAUUGUGUACCCCUCUGGAAUAAAUGCUACUGCUUAUGAGUGACUAUUAUAGAGCUCUUCCAUACAGCCAAGUUAAAGUGAAACCUACAUCUCGUUGAUCCACAUAAAAGUAUGCCUGCACAAUAAAUUGUGUUAUUUCCAUUGCUGAUCUCUAUUUUGCCAUAGUAGCAGCAUUGAUGAAUGGUGGUGUCCUUACUGAUUUAAUGUGAGCCAAAUUAAGGAAAGCAAUUGGUUAAUUCUACUGCCUUUCCUCCUCCCAUCAAAUGUUACUUGUCAGUUCUAGAAGCAAUCACAAAUCAAAUCUCCCUAGACAGUUGUGAGGCAAGUUUUGUUAUCAUUUCAAUGGCUGCAAUAGCAGAUUUUACUGCCUGUCAAUUUGCAAGCAAAGAGUGAAAUUUGGAGGGCUGUAUGCAGUGGUGGGAUUCAAAUAAUUUAACAACCGGUUCUCUGUCCUAAUAAUUUCUUCCAACAGCCAGUUCA